This 756-nucleotide ribosomal RNA is filed under the name Litinium gludi. RNAcentral describes it as "partial large subunit ribosomal RNA". It matches the Rfam family "Eukaryotic large subunit ribosomal RNA", at positions 365 to 944 of the family's 3401-position model. The record is from RNAcentral. Lineage: Eukaryota; Metazoa; Nematoda; Enoplea; Enoplida; Oxystominidae.
UGCAAAGAACUUUGAAGAGAGAGUUCAACAGGGCGUGAAACCGUCCAGGAGCAAACAGGUGGAGCUGCAAUGUAGCCUGUAGGAUUCAGCCUGACCUUGGAUACUUAGUUAGAGAUUUGAUCGUAUGACAGUCUCGAAGCUAGCCUUGAAGUCCUUGUUGGGUGCAAUUCCUGCAUGUGAGCGCUACGACCGGUUAUUACGCUGCUGGACUUUACCGAUUGCCGACUGAACCUUCGGGUUCAGUGCCCCGUUGGUGAAGCUUGGCUGGUUGUGGUGACCGAAGAUCUGCUGCAACGGCUUGUCUCAGCUGUCACAGUUCCUCUGGGGAAUGAAAUUCCGCGCCCUGCUUGCAGGACCUGGUAACCCUACCCACAGGAGCUGUGGUUGUCUGCUCAGUUGCAAAAGGUCUGUGGCGUCCGUGUCAGCCUCCCACCUGACCCGUCUUGAAACACGGACCAAGGAGUCUAACAUGUGCGCAAGUUAUUGGCUUGUAAAGUCAUGGGCGAAAUGAAAGUAAAGGUAAACGUUGUUUACUGAUGUGGGAUCUGUGUUGCUUUGGCACGGCGCACCACAGCCCCGUUUCAUCUGCUUGUCAGGGAGGCGGAGGUAGAGCGUACAUGUUGGGACCCGAAAGAUGGUGAACUAUGCCUGAGCAGGGCGAAGCCAGGAGAAAUCCUGGUGGAGGCCUGUAGCGGUUCUGACGUGCAAAUCGAUCGUCAGACUUGGGUAUAGGGGCGAAAGACUAAUCGAACCAUC